AAUAUGACUCUCGGCAACGGAUAUYUCGGCUCUYGCAUCGAUGAAGAACGUANCGAAAUGCGAUACUUGGUGUGAAUUGCAGAAUCCCGUGAACCAUUGAGUGUUUGAAGGCAAGUUGCGCCCAAGGCCGUUCGGUAGAGGGCACAUYUGCUUGGGCGUUAA
Molecule: ribosomal RNA, 162 nt
Filed under: Piper cf. cernuum Hatschbach 46665
Lineage: Eukaryota; Viridiplantae; Streptophyta; Magnoliopsida; Piperales; Piperaceae
Description: 5.8S ribosomal RNA
Rfam family: 5.8S ribosomal RNA
About the family: 5.8S ribosomal RNA (5.8S rRNA) is a component of the large subunit of the eukaryotic ribosome. It is transcribed by RNA polymerase I as part of the 45S precursor that also contains 18S and 28S rRNA. Functionally, it is thought that 5.8S rRNA may be involved in ribosome translocation.
Source: RNAcentral